RNAcentral lists this unclassified non-coding RNA (214 nucleotides) under Hevea brasiliensis (rubber tree). Lineage: Eukaryota; Viridiplantae; Streptophyta; Magnoliopsida; Malpighiales; Euphorbiaceae. The record is from RNAcentral.
ACCCCAUCGCAACCCAACUGCAUCAUCAACGCUGCGUCCGCCGGCGUCGCGACCCCUCCCGCCGCGAACUGCACCACAGGUAGCCUCCCUAGCUGCUUCGUCUGCAUAACCAAAUCGUACGGCGCAGCAAUCUUCUUGGCAAAACUGAACACCUCGUCGUCGUCCAUGUUCCUCAAAACCCUAACAUCACCCAUCACAGACCUCACGUGCCUAA